This 92-nucleotide transfer RNA is filed under the name Candidatus Omnitrophota bacterium. RNAcentral describes it as "tRNA-Ser". It matches the Rfam family "tRNA". From Rfam's summary of the family: Transfer RNA (tRNA) molecules are approximately 80 nucleotides in length. Their secondary structure includes four short double-helical elements and three loops (D, anti-codon, and T loops). Further hydrogen bonds mediate the characteristic L-shaped molecular structure. tRNAs have two regions of fundamental functional importance: the anti-codon, which is responsible for specific mRNA codon recognition, and the 3' end, to which the tRNAs corresponding amino acid is attached (by aminoacyl-tRNA synthetases). tRNAs cope with the degeneracy of the genetic code in two manners: having more than one tRNA (with a specific anti-codon) for a particular amino acid; and 'wobble' base-pairing, i.e. permitting non-standard base-pairing at the 3rd anti-codon position. Lineage: Bacteria; Pseudomonadati; Candidatus Omnitrophota. The record is from RNAcentral.
GGAGAGGUCGCGUAGUCCGGUUUAGCGCGCGUGCCUGGAGAGCACGUGUAGGAGCAAUUCUACCCAGGGUUCGAAUCCCUGCCUCUCCGCCA